GUAGUCCACGCUGUAAACGAUGAGUGCUAGAUAUCGGGAGAUUUUUUCUUUCGGUUUCGUAGUUAACAUGUUAAGCACUCCGCCUGGGGAGUACGAUCGCAAGAUUAAAACUCAAAGGAAUUGACGGGGGCUCGCACAAGUGGUGGAGCAUGCGGUUUAAUUCGAUGCUACGCGAAAAACCUUACCAACCCUUGACAUGGUGGUCGUAGGUUCCAGAGAUGGAUCCGUCAGUUCGGCUGGACCACACACAGGUGUUGCAUGGCUGUCGUCAGCUCGUGUCGUGAGAUGUUGGGUUAAGUCCCGCAACGAGCGCAACCCUCAUCCUUAUUUACCAGCGGUUCGGCCGGGGACUAUAGGGAAACUGCCGGUGAUAAACCGGA
This 380-nucleotide ribosomal RNA is filed under the name uncultured bacterium. RNAcentral describes it as "bacterial SSU rRNA". It matches the Rfam family "Bacterial small subunit ribosomal RNA", at positions 790 to 1167 of the family's 1533-position model. The record is from RNAcentral.